RNAcentral lists this long non-coding RNA (684 nucleotides) under Homo sapiens (human). RNAcentral's name for it is "non-protein coding lnc-ZNF385D-3:5". The record is from RNAcentral. Lineage: Eukaryota; Metazoa; Chordata; Mammalia; Primates; Hominidae.
UGGCGAGAGUGAGGCUGAAUUAAUACCUGAUGACUUUGAAGAAAAACCAGAAAGAGAAAAGAAACAUACCAACUUUACUUUGUGCAAUGUAUGUAACAUUCAGCUGAAUUCAGCCGCUCAAGCACAAAUCCACUACAAUGGCAAAUCACAUCAAAAGAGAUUAAAACAACUCAGCAAUGGGACGCUGAAAAAUGACAAUGUUUUGCCAUUUUUGCUUCAAGCAUUUGGAAGUUCCAUGGUAGGGACAUAUCCAUUUAGCAUUAUAUCUUCUUGUUUACAGAACAUUCUAUGCAGUUUCUUAUAUGGACCACUCAUGGAGCUGUUCAGAUUUUCAUACAAAAAGAGGUUGUUUUUUUUUCUGGCAAUAUUAUCUGUCACAAUUAUCCCUUCACUUAGUAGUUAGAAGUCGGGGGGUGCUAAGAGCAAUUUCCACAGAUGCUUUGUUUGUGGAGAAAAGUAGGAUGGCCCCUCUGCUUGUCUUAGUGCAGAGCAAGGAAUGGCUUCGAAGCCAUUCCUUGAGUACUGAGGUCUCUGUGUAGUCUUACUUCUUUUCUGAAUUUUUCAGAGUCUUCUGAUAGUUGCUUGAUAUAUUUUGUCUAUGGUUUUCAGUUCUAUGUAGUAGAAAGAAUAGAGUAUCUCCCCCCAGUCCUCUAAGUAGAAAUAAAAAUUAAUAUAAAAAAUUAA